UUCACCAGACUCAGAGAGCUCCUCUCAGUCUUCACAUCGUUCUUCUUCCGACCCGACAGUAAGGUGCUUGCUUGAGUUGCCGUUGUCAUUCCCGCCACCGCGUCGGCAUCAGAGUCUUUGUACUCUAGCUGCAUCGCGUCCUCGCAGUCUCUCAACCCGACGUCAACAUCGCACGGUUUGCAUCUGCUUGCCGGAGCCAUUUCGUUUCCCAACGGCGAAUUUGAAGGUUUCACUCUCACUCCCAGAGGCAGGUUUCUCCUUCAGUGCGAAUUAGGGGCUGCCUUUCUCAUGUAAUGCUACCGAGAUACUGUAUUUGAGAACUUGGUGGUUUAUGGCAUUAUUGAUCGAGUGAAUUUGCUAAGUGGUUCCCAGGUUCAUUUCGGUGCUCUUUUGUGUUUUUUGUUUCGACUGCUUUCUAGAGGCAAUUUGAUUUCGAGCUUUGACAAGUCCGUCUACUUAUAAACUCGUGCAGCCUACAUGUGUGAAAAAGUGAGUUUCAUCAAGUGGCGCAACAAACUUAUAACAUUGAGGAAUUGACCGAGGUUAUUCGACCAUCAAUUUCAGUUAUGCACAAGGAGUGGUCUGAUGCUAUGCGUACUUUUCAUGACAAGUUUGAUUCUCUGUCUAAUCGCAGACCAUGGGAACAGCGAGGCUAUAAACCAGGCAAAUAUUCAAAAAUGUUACCAGAGGAUGAGGACUAGUCCCUCGGUGAGGAAGAUGAUGAGGAUGGUGAAACUAAUCAAAUUAUGUGUGCCUUGUGUGGUGCCUGUGGGGAAAGCUAUGCUGCAAAUGAAUUCUAGAUUUGUUGUGACAUAUAACAUGUGUAAUUUAAUUUGGAUUUCACCUAGCCUUUUCUGUAUUGUUAGAACUUACAUUCAUAAUCCUUUUGUGUUUGUUGUUUACAACUUUUUUCCAGAAAUAAUA
Argentina anserina (silverweed cinquefoil) is the source of this 924-nucleotide long non-coding RNA. RefSeq lists it as uncharacterized. Lineage: Eukaryota; Viridiplantae; Streptophyta; Magnoliopsida; Rosales; Rosaceae. The transcript has 5 exons. The record is from RefSeq and is a predicted model, not a curated record.